AGUGAACGCUGGCGGUAGGCCUAACACAUGCAAGUCGAACGGCAGCACAGUAAGAGCUUGCUCUUACGGGUGGCGAGUGGCGGACGGGUGAGGAAUACAUCGGAAUCUACUUUUUCGUGGGGGAUAACGUAGGGAAACUUACGCUAAUACCGCAUACGACCUACGGGUGAAAGCAGGGGAUCUUCGGACCUUGCGCGAUUGAAUGAGCCGAUGUCGGACUAGCUAGUUGGCGGGGUAAAGGCCCACCAAGGCGACGAUCCGUAGCUGGUCUGAGAGGAUGAUCAGCCACACUGGAACUGAGACACGGUCCAGACUCCUACGGGAGGCCGCAGUGGGGAAUAUUGGACAAUGGGCGCAAGCCUGAUCCAGCCAUACCGCGUGGGUGAAGAAGGCCUUCGGGUUGUAAAGCCCUUUUGUUGGGAAAGAAAAGCAGCAGGUUAAUACCCCGCUGUUCUGACGGUACCCAAAGAAUAAGCACCGGCUAACUUCGUG
RNAcentral lists this ribosomal RNA (492 nucleotides) under uncultured bacterium. RNAcentral describes it as "partial 16S ribosomal RNA". It matches the Rfam family "Bacterial small subunit ribosomal RNA", at positions 29 to 507 of the family's 1533-position model. The record is from RNAcentral.